This 1671-nucleotide long non-coding RNA is filed under the name Sorghum bicolor (sorghum). RNAcentral describes it as "long non-coding RNA (SBIC_LNC003593)". Lineage: Eukaryota; Viridiplantae; Streptophyta; Magnoliopsida; Poales; Poaceae. The record is from RNAcentral.
CAACUUCCGCGGCAACUCCGCCGCCGGCGGCCGGUCCCGGUCCCGGCGUUCCGCUGCACUCCCACAGUCCCACCUCUGCGUCCGCGGGGACGGGGUAGCCCUACUGAGCUUCGCAGCCUAACAAGUUUCUUGCCACCAGGUAGGCGCUUCCUACCUGCGGUUCCCUCGUUUCAGGAUGCUGGAUUUUGCAUCCUGCUAGCACUGGCUCUGGCUCUGGCUUUGAGCGAGCAAUAAGGUAACUAGCCAACCCACGGGACCCCUUACUCUGUUUUAUUUUGCCAACAUUCGUCACUCUAUUCUUCAAUCUGCCUGAUUCUGAGUAGACAUUAUUGCUUUCGUGGGAUCCUUUCCGCCUGAGGUGCUCGCAGGCAAAGGUUUAUUUUUUUUCUCUCAGGAGACAAAAACGUUCCUCUGAAUGUUGCUGUGGCUUUGGAGAAAAUAGCUAUUAUAGGACUCUAAUCGUGCGGCUUCUUCGAAAUAGGAUUCUUAACGUUUGUUUAUCUGAAAUAGGACUCUAAACGUUGAUAAUAAGCUGUAAUGACAUUUUGUGUCUUUUUCAUUUCUUUUUUUAUCUAAAUACAUGUAUUUGUUCCUAAAAUGACCCUUUUAUCCUUCAGUCAUUAAACUGUUAUGGUAGUCUCCAUUACAGAAAAAAAAACAUCAUAGCUUCCUGGCCUGUGUGUUGCCUUGUCCAGCUUAUUUUUUUUUAAUAAACUGAUGCCUUGCUGCCAUGCCGCCAUGGUCGUGGCUGCCGUGCUGGCUGGCCAUGGUCAUGGCAAAUAUUGGAUGUCGGCCAGGUAUCUCGCGCUGCUAGUGCUUCGCGCUGCCUGCAGCCUGAUGUCCAGGCAGAGAUCGCCAGCCACUGUUGGGGGCUCGGCUGAUUUUGGGGAUUGUAACGGAGGGUGAGAGUACCAAGACCGAAAGCAGGUAAGACGGGUGUUGUGCCGUGCCAACUAGAUCACACAUCUGCUGAUCUGCCUAAUCCAAUCGGUCUUGGAGUGUCACCUGAAAUGUUUCACGCUUAAAAAUCGAGUAAGAAUCACUUUAGCAAAAUUGUAUGGAUAACAUGCUAGAUCUUGGCGAAAAACAAUUCGGCUCUAAUUAACAAGCUUAAAUUACAAAUUCAACUGAGCUAAAAUUGAGCCGAACUUGAUACUCGCACUGCUCGAGGGCUAGAGAUCCUUUCACAUCUGUAAAUGACAAGUGACCCACUGUACAUAAGCUUGUUUGUUUGUUCAUGCAUCUCUAUUGCUCCGGCUUCUUGUCUCUGGCCUUCUGCAUGUCCACCAUCUUUAAUUUCUCCUUGAGGCAAGAUGUCAUCUGAAUCACCACCAUCUUUAAUUUCUCCUUGUGGCAAGAUAUUAUCUGAAUCACCAUUUUCAUGUUCUACUUGUUUGCUUUUGCAGAAAUAAAUUGUUAAGGCGACCACAAGAGAGGUGGUUGAGGCAACUCCAGUGGCAAUAGUCGGUCCUGCGAAACUGUCAAAGGUGAGUGUACCUGAACCAGAGAUGGUGCCCACAUUUUGGCAGUUGUUUUGAUCUCCUAUCCAUUUCUUCUCAAUCCGAGUUAUAGUGUCUCCCCCUGUUAUGUUGAGGAUUGCUUGUGAGAUGUCACCUAUUAUUGGCGAUCCCUUCUGAAGUGCCUGUGGAAGAAGGUGCCCGUGUAAAAAAC